This 351-nucleotide ribosomal RNA is filed under the name uncultured Lactobacillus sp. RNAcentral's name for it is "bacterial SSU rRNA". It matches the Rfam family "Bacterial small subunit ribosomal RNA", at positions 170 to 525 of the family's 1533-position model. The record is from RNAcentral. Lineage: Bacteria; Bacillati; Bacillota; Bacilli; Lactobacillales; Lactobacillaceae.
CCUAUCAACUGUUUAAAAAGUAUGGUUCUGCUAUCACUCUUGGAUGGACCUGCGGUGCAUUAGCUAGUUGGUAGGGUAACGGCCUACCAAGGCGAUGAUGCAUAGCCGAGUUGAGAGACUGAUCGGCCACAUUGGGACUGAGACACGGCCCAAACUCCUACGGGAGGCAGCAGUAGGGAAUCUUCCACAAUGGACGCAAGUCUGAUGAGCAACGCCGCGUGAGUGAAGAAGGGUUUCGGCUCGUAAAGCUCUGUUGUUGGUGAAGAAGGACAGGGGUAGUAACUGACCUUUGUUUGACGGUAAUCAAUUAGAAAGUCACGGGCUAACUACGUGCCAGCAGCCGCGGUAAAU